Long non-coding RNA from Pelodiscus sinensis (Chinese soft-shelled turtle), 462 nucleotides. RefSeq lists it as uncharacterized. NCBI's taxonomy places the organism in Eukaryota, Metazoa, Chordata, Testudines, Trionychidae. The record is from RefSeq and is a predicted model, not a curated record.
AGCAGCCAGCAGGAUGAUGGCAGAGAGCAGUGAUCAUGUGGGUGAUGAGUGACCAGCAGACUGAAUAGGAUGCUUUUUUACCUCUCCUCCAUUCAGGGGCGAGGUGAACUCUGAAGGAUUGGGCAUGUGAAGGGGCCAUUUAGAUUGCUGGACGUAAGAACAUGAGAGGGAAAGGACAUUGGCCAACCCUACUUGAGAACUUCCAAGCUCUAUGCCCCAAGCCAGGGGAAAUGCAUUGUUUCGCUGCCUCUGGAACAAUCAGGAAGUAGAGUGUGACUAUCCUAGCAGGUGUGCUGAAGAGGCAGAUCUCAGACUUCAUUCAUUCCCUAUGCACCAAGCAUCCUGAGUGAGAGACACAACCCCACUAGGUGCCAAGCACCCUCAACUUCCAUUGGCAUGAAGUCUCAGCAUUUUGCAAGAUCAGAAUCUUCUUGCACUUAAACAAGAUUUCUUUCUGCGGGC